RNAcentral lists this ribosomal RNA (337 nucleotides) under Erythrolamprus almadensis (Almaden ground snake). RNAcentral's name for it is "partial small subunit ribosomal RNA". The record is from RNAcentral. Lineage: Eukaryota; Metazoa; Chordata; Lepidosauria; Squamata; Dipsadidae.
AAAAACUUGACGGUACCCCACACCAACCUAGAGGAGCCUGUCUAAUAAACCGAUACCCCACGAUCAACCCAACCCACUCUAGCCCCACAGUCUAUAUACCGCCGUCGCCAGCUUACCUUGCAAAAGAAACUAAGUAAGCAUAAUAAAACAAACUCUUAACACGACAGGUCGAGGUGUAACUUAUGAGUGCGUAAAGAUGGGCUACAUUUUCUAUAACAGAAAACUACGGAUAAACUAUGAAACUAAAAACUGAAGGAGGAUUUAGCAGUAUGUUAAGAAUAGAAAACUAAACAGAAACUUACGCAAUGAGGUGCGUACACACCGCCCGUCAUCCCUG